CAACAGGGAUUGCCCUAGUAACGGCGAGUGAAGCGGCAACAGCUCAAAUUUGAAAUCUGGCCUCGGCCCGAGUUGUAAUUUGCAGAGGAAGCUUUAGGCGCGGCACCUUCUGAGUCCCCUGGAACGGGGCGCCAUAGAGGGUGAGAGCCCCGUAUAGUUGGAUGCCUAGCCUGUGUAAAGCUCCUUCGACGAGUCGAGUAGUUUGGGAAUGCUGCUCAAAAUGGGAGGUAAAUUUCUUCUAAAGCUAAAUACCGGCCAGAGACCGAUAGCGCACAAGUAGAGUGAUCGAAAGAUGAAAAGCACUUUGAAAAGAGGGUUAAAUAGCACGUGAAAUUGUUGAAAGGGAAGCGCUUGUGACCAGACUUGCGCCGGGCUGAUCAUCCGGUGUUCUCACCGGUGCACUCUGCCCGGCUCAGGCCAGCAUCGGUUCUCGCGGGGGGAUAAAGGCCCAGGGAACGUAGCUCCUCCGGGAGUGUUAUAGCCCUGGGUGUAAUGCCCUCGCGGGGACCGAGGUUCGCGCAUCUGCAAGGAUGCUGGCGUAAUGGUCACCAGCGACCCGUCUUGAAACACGGACCAAGGAGUCAAGGUUUUGCGCGAGUGUUUGGGUGUAAAACCCGCACGCGUAAUGAAAGUGAACGUAGGUGAGAGCUUCGGCGCAUCAUCGACCGAUCCUGAUGUUUUCGGAUGGAUUUGAGUAGGAGCGUUAAGCCUUGGACCCGAAAGAUGGUGAACUAUGCUUGGAUAGGGUGAAGCCAGAGGAAACUCUGGUGGAGGCUCGCAGCGGUUCUGACGUGCAAAUCGAUCGUCAAAUCUGAGCAUGGGGGCGAAAGACUAAUCGAACCAUC
Molecule: ribosomal RNA, 845 nt
Filed under: Arcopilus aureus
Lineage: Eukaryota; Fungi; Ascomycota; Sordariomycetes; Sordariales; Chaetomiaceae
Description: partial large subunit ribosomal RNA
Rfam family: Eukaryotic large subunit ribosomal RNA
Source: RNAcentral